UAGGGAAUAUUGGGCAAUGGACGCAAGUCUGACCCAGCCAUGCCGCGUGCAGGAUGAAAGCCCUAUGGGUUGUAAACUGCUUUUAUACGGGAAAAAACUUUCGGUCGUGAACCGGAACUGAUGGUACCGUAAGAAUAAGGAUCGGCUAACUCCGUGCCAGCAGCCGCGGUAAUACGGAGGAUCCAAGCGUUAUCCGGAUUUAUUGGGUUUAAAGGGUGCGCAGGCGGAUUAGUAAGUCAGUGGUGAAAGCCUACAGCUCAACUGUAGAAUUGCCAUUGAUACUGUUAGUCUUGAGUAUAUUUGGAGUGGGCGGAAUGUGUCAUGUAGCGGUGAAAUGCUUAGAGAUGACACAGAACACCGAUCGCGAAGGCAGCUCACUAAACUAUAACUGACGCUCAUGCACGAAAGCGUGGGGAUCAAACAGG
Molecule: ribosomal RNA, 425 nt
Filed under: uncultured bacterium
Lineage: Bacteria
Description: bacterial SSU rRNA
Rfam family: Bacterial small subunit ribosomal RNA
Source: RNAcentral